UCGCUAGUAAUACGCAAAUCAGAAUGUUGCGGUGAAUACGUUCUCGGGUCUUGUACACACCGCCCGUCACACCAUGGGAGUCGGAUAUGCCCGAAGCCAGUGACCUAACCGCAAGGAAGGAGCUGUCGAAGGUGGAGCCGAUAACUGGGGUGAAGUCGUAACAAGGUAUC
RNAcentral lists this ribosomal RNA (170 nucleotides) under uncultured bacterium. RNAcentral's name for it is "partial 16S ribosomal RNA". It matches the Rfam family "Bacterial small subunit ribosomal RNA", at positions 1332 to 1500 of the family's 1533-position model. The record is from RNAcentral.